Molecule: unclassified non-coding RNA, 323 nt
Filed under: Laspinema palackyanum D2b
Lineage: Bacteria; Bacillati; Cyanobacteriota; Cyanophyceae; Oscillatoriales; Laspinemataceae
Description: Laspinema sp. D2b partial 16S-23S ribosomal RNA intergenic spacer
Source: RNAcentral
UUUAGGGAGACCUUCUGCAUUCCCACUGAAACCCAAAAAUUAAUCGGGGGACUCAGAUAUCCUAAGGUCGUUACGAGACUAGACAAUUUCUGGCUUUCAAACUCUUUGUUCGGUUCAGCAUCAUGUUUGAUGAACAUGAUGCUACACAUGAAUAAGCCGGAACGAAAACACAGCAACUUAUCUAAAGUCAUCUAUCAAAUAUAGAGACCAGAAAGACUGCUGGAUUUUAACCAGCUUUUGAACCUUGAAAACUGCAUAAAGAAAAGAAUCAAAGGGAAAACCUUUUAAAUCCGAAGGGAUUUAGAAGGCAUCCAAAAAAGAAG